GUCUUAUUGAAUAUAAUUUUAAGUCUAACCUGCCCACUGAAAUUUUGAAUGGCCGCAGUAAUUUGACUGUGCAAAGGUAGCAUAAUCAUUAGUUUUUUAAUUAAAAGCUUGUAUGAAGGGUUGGACGAGGUAAAAUCUGUCUCUAUUUAAUUUAAAAUAGAAUUUAAUUUUUAAGUUAAAAAGCUUAAAUAAAUAUAAAAGACGAGAAGACCCUAUAGAUCUUUAUAUAAUUUAUAUUAAUUUUAAUAAAGAAUAUUUAAUUUAUUAAUAUAAUAUUAUAUUUUAUUGGGGUAAUAGAAAGAUUAAUAAAAUUCUUUUUAAAUUUAUACAUAAAUUUAUGAAUUAAUGAUCCAAUUAUUUUGAUUAAAAGAUUAAGUUACCUUAGGGAUAACAGCGUAAUUUUUUCAGAGAGUUCAUAUCGAUGAAAAAGUUUGCGACCUCGAUGUUGGAUUAAAAAUUAUUUUAAAUGCAAAAGUUUAAAAUUUUGGUCUGUUCGACCAUUAAAUUUUU
This 510-nucleotide ribosomal RNA is filed under the name Sandracottus bakewellii. RNAcentral's name for it is "partial 16S ribosomal RNA". The stretch from base 387 to 510 matches the Rfam family "Bacterial large subunit ribosomal RNA", at positions 2473 to 2597 of the family's 2925-position model. The record is from RNAcentral. Lineage: Eukaryota; Metazoa; Arthropoda; Insecta; Coleoptera; Dytiscidae.